This is a non-coding RNA of Paramuricea clavata, 352 nucleotides long. NCBI's taxonomy places the organism in Eukaryota, Metazoa, Cnidaria, Anthozoa, Malacalcyonacea, Plexauridae. The record is from the annotation of a GenBank genome assembly.
GCUUUUGCCAAAUAAAUUUCCCCAUUCUCUGUUUUUUUUUAUAGUACAUCAUGCAACAUUCUGAAUCCAAGGUUGGGUCUCUUCAUGCAGAAUUGAUAGUAUAGACUUUUAAUGAAGACUUCCAUGUUUGUAGUUCAAGCCAGCCAAGUUCCAAAGGAUGUACGUGACAAAUGAAACCACUGACCUCUUCAGGUUGAGAAGCCUCGACGUUGCAAAAACACUGGUUGUAGCAGAACAACAAGUUUUUGUGCUCAAAGUGUACCUGUGCGUAACAGGGAUUAUUACCAUGGCAUAACUUCUGAAUAACUGUACCAUUCUUGUAAAUAUUAUAUGAUUUUCAAUAUACUCAGAU